GAACAUAAGGACUUAUUUUCUUCUCAAUCUGAAUCAAUUCCUGAUGAAUCUUGCUUUCAAUUACCUGUUUCACAACCAGAGAAUCCAAGUAGUUUUGAAUUAAUUUCUCAGUUUGAAAAGGAUUCUGAAAACGUUUUGAACAAGGAUGAAUUUUCUGGUCCUCUGAAUGCUCUUGAUAUUGGUGCAUAUGACUUUGGUCUUGAAAGCUUUGUGUCAAUGCAGGAAGGGCCAGAUGAAGAACAAAACUGUGGUCAUCAAGCAAACCAAGAAAGCUCUUCUUCCAUUCAAAAACCGAACCAAACUCAAGGUGAGCAAUGUUCUGAUUAUAAUUCCUUUUUUUAUAACCCUUUUCCUUUUAAUGUUCCAGAUUUAAGGACAAAUAUUUUUGAAGAGGGAGGGAAUGAUGCGCCCUUGAGUAGCGCACCGGGCAAAACAGACAUGCAUAGCUUGAUCAUGGAAAGCAAGCUCCUCAAAGAAGAAUCAGAUCAAACAGAGUUCAGAUGUGGGAGUUAUGAAAUUCGCAAAUCAGGAGACUGUCAGUUCUCGCGAAUUUGGGCCGUACGGAUCGUCCAGUCCACAUCUUGAUCCUUACCGCGAAGGAACCACUUGGUUCAGACGAACCUGGACGUUAGCCGAAGAGUCUCUUUGACCAGAUCUGAGAUCCAAGAGUUUUAAUACAUUGUCUUUAAAUUACUCAUCUUGAUUCGAUUUACUAAGUUUGUCUUUAAUACAUUUUUAAGUAUUUUUCUAUUCCUCAAGUAGUAUAAAUAUGUAAACAUUUCUCAUAAUAAAAUCAGUCUAUGUUUUUGAGUUUAUUUUGUUUCUUCUCUGAGUGAGAGAGAGAGUUCUUUAGCUAGUUCAUUGGUGUGAACCGGCUUGUUGAUUUGGUGGUCAGCCAAUUCAUCUUUGUGUGUUGUUUGGUGGCUAGCCAACACAUUCUUUCUUUCUUAGGUGGUUAGCAUUAGAUCGUGGGUAUAUCAAGAGCCAUUCCGCAUCUCUUGACGAUCCUUUCAAUCCAUCUCAGUUCCAGAAGUGCCUUUGCCUUCUCGGAUCAUAUCCAACACCCAGCUAAAGUGAUCCUUCCCAGUUUAGGGCGUAUCAAGUGGUAUCAGAGCCACUUUUGCUGGUUUGUUUUCUUUCAUCUUUCAUCUUCUCAUCUCUCUACGUUUUUCUUUUCUUAUUUCUUGGAUCUGGGCUGUUCCUUUACUCCCUUGUGAUCGCCUAUUAUAAAAAAAAAUAUAUCGAUUAAAAAAAGAAAAAAGUUUUUGCUUGAAUCACUCCUGAAGAUAAAUCCAGAGGGAGUGGUGGAAGAGAAAACCUGCUGGCUGAAGAGAAACCCAGCCUUAGGACAGUUAAGGCAGAUCCAUAUCAAAAAUCUCUUCAUCUUUCUUUCUCUUUUUUUUUCCCACAAAAGUUUGUUUUGGGUUUUGAUUGCUGAAUUUGACUGCCUAUCAUCCUUUGAACCAGUGGAAUGAACUCUGAGUGAUCACCUAAAAAUCGUGAGCUAAACACUUUGAGAGUGUGAGGAUUUUUAUUUGUUAACUCUUUUGUUAAGUGUUUUCAGGAUGUUUGGACUUCUAAAGAAAUAAAAAUCACAACAAGACGUUUACUUUCCUUUUAAAACCAUGUUAGAAAAAGAGCAAAUGAUUUUUGGAAAUAAGAAACAGUUUGCUUCUAAUGUGUUUGAUUUUGUGAAACAAAGAAACCAAAGGAAGAGACAAAACAUGUUCGAUGAUGAUGAGAAGUGGGUCAGAAGUGGUGAUCGUCCCUUCACCAAAGCCAAGAGAAGCAACCGUGUUGUGUUUGAUCAGAAUGAGCUUCAGACUUAUGUAAGCUUAGAGAAGAUGUUGCAUAAGACAAUUCAUGCUAUCCGACAACUCAAAAAGAAGGGAAACACCAACACUUCUCCUGCACCAAAACAACAAAGUAAUUUUUCUUUUUUUUCAAAUUCUGAUUUGAAAACUAAUGUGUUGUCUUCUGAUAAAAGCAAAGCGGUAAAACCCACAAGAAAAUCUCAUUCUACCAGGUGCUUGAAAUGCCAUAGGAUCGGUCAUUAAGGUAACAAGUGUCAAAAGCAAAGACCGUUGGUGACUUUGGAGAAUGAGAACGUUGAAUCCGAGCCAGAAAAGGUAGACCCAUUACCAAAUUUCGAUGACUACACAUAUGAGUCAAUGGAGGCGAUAGAUGAAGAACAAAUUCGUGGUCAUCAAGCCAACCAAGAAGAAUCAUCUUCCAUUCAAAAAAUGGACCAAAAGGUGAGAAUUGUGCUGAUUAUGGUUCUUUUGCUUAUAAUCCUUUUCCUUUUAAUGUUUCAGAUUUGAGGACAAAUAUUUUUGAAAAGGAAGGGAAUGAUGUGCCCUGGUGUGUGGAUCAUUCCAUUGGAGCCAACCAGCAUGGAGAUCUGGAUGUUCUGAACAAUUUGACCGAGGUUUGUUCAUCCGACCGUACCGAUCAGACUGACCGAGCCGUCCCGCGUGCGUCCCGAUUGGAGCUUCGGCUGGAACCACGUCCAGACGACCGAACCAACAGAAUCAUAGCCUGUAUUCCCCGACCAACUCGACAUGCUAAGACCAACAAUCGAGCCAGACUUAGCUUGGGUCGUGAAGAAACCGAAGACGAACAUGCAUUCUUAUCCGGCGGACCAUCCAGACAGUCCCGCAAGUGUCCUUAUCUUUACCCCGUGCAUCCAUCUGGUUCAGAUGAACCUGGACAUUAUCUGAAGGGUCAUAUUUGACCAAUCUGCAUGGAAGACUGAGGCUUUGACUCAUUAAUUCAGAUCUGGUCAAAUUUUUAUUUUCUAUGCAUUAUUUUCCGUCUUUUUUCUUUAUUAGUUUUUGACUACAAACACUAUAAAUAUGUAGUCUCAUUCUAUGAAUAAAAUAAGUCUAUGUUUUUGAGUU
Molecule: long non-coding RNA, 2900 nt
Organism: Brassica rapa (field mustard)
Lineage: Eukaryota; Viridiplantae; Streptophyta; Magnoliopsida; Brassicales; Brassicaceae
Source: RefSeq, a predicted model, not a curated record